Long non-coding RNA from Etheostoma cragini (Arkansas darter), 116 nucleotides. RefSeq lists it as uncharacterized. The record is from RefSeq and is a predicted model, not a curated record. Lineage: Eukaryota; Metazoa; Chordata; Actinopteri; Perciformes; Percidae. The transcript is spliced from 3 exons.
AUCCAGCCAGGUAAAGGGUACCAGGAGAUUUCUUAAUAUAGACCUAAUUCUAUUUAAAUUUUAUUUUAGGAGUUAUCUGCUGUAGUUAUGGCUGAUACUGGCUCAGGACCAUCACA